This 324-nucleotide ribosomal RNA is filed under the name uncultured eukaryote. Its description in RNAcentral is "partial 18S ribosomal RNA". It matches the Rfam family "Eukaryotic small subunit ribosomal RNA", at positions 1470 to 1796 of the family's 1831-position model. The record is from RNAcentral.
CCCUUAGAUGUUCUGGGCCGCACGCGCGCUACACUGAUGCAUUCAACGAGUUUCUUCCUGGUCCGAGAGGAAUGGGUAACCUUUUGAAAGUGCAUCGUGAUAGGGAUAGACUAUUGCAAUUAUUGGUCUUCAACGAGGAAUUCCUAGUAGACGUAGUUCAUCAGACUGCAUCGAUUACGUCCCUGCCCUUUGUACACACCGCCCGUCGCUCCUACCGAUUGAAUGCUCAGGUGAGCCAUUCGGACUUUCAUCAUGCUGGUUUCCAGUUUUGAUGAAAGAAAGUCUUGCGAACCUUAUCAUUUAGAGGAAGGAGAAGUCGUAACA